AUGAGAAGGCUAAGCAAAGGCCUUAAGGAAAUCGCUCUAGUCAGAGAAGGAAAAGUUGCGAAUUUUCCAUCAACGAAAGAAACGGCUGUUGGGCCCGUGGAGCUGGCUGAGGCGGCCGCGAUCCGUCAUCCCCGCGGGGGGGCUCCCGGCGCCCGCAAAUCACUCGGGAGAGCGACCGGGUCGGGGCUCAUCUGCCUCCCGGGGCAGCCGGUGAUAAACGACUCGCCUGAAACUCGGCUGGCAAUUUCAGAGGAAAAUCCGUUUUUAAUGGGCAACUUCAUGUACUUUCCUGGAACUUCUUCCAAAUGGAAAAGCGAGAAAAGUCAAUCACCUCACGAAGUCGGGAGCCCCCGCGGGGAGCGCGAUGACGUCGAGGGCUCGGAGCCAGCGGGCGGCGUCCAGGGAGGCCGUGGGGGCCCCGCCCUCGGGCAGGAGCCGGCAGGGGGCUCGUNNNNNNNNNNNNNNNNNNNNNNNNNNNNNNNNNNNNNNCCGCGGGCUGCAGACGCCAGGGAGUCGCGGAGGAGCCGGGGGCAGCGGGGUGGCGCAGGGUCACUCAACGGCCGGCACUCGCGCUCUCGUGGGAAGGCCGGAGCGUGGGGCCCCCUCGGGCUGCCCCCGGCCUUGCCCUCCCGGAUCCGGUCCAGAAUCUCACAAGGACACGCCGACCCCCGGCAGCCAGCGGAGACAGCGGGGAAACCGAGGCACCGCCCCAAGCCUGCUGCACGCGGCACCAGGCGGCUUCCGGGUGGGAGUGAAGCCACGAGCCAGCCCUUCGCCGCAGAAGCGAACGCUGACGCUGACGUGUUCACUUUCCCAAGGUCCGGGCUCCCCGCCCUGCAAGGGAAAUCUCCAUCUAAACUCGAGGCUGGUGAAGAUUCCAGGCUAAAGUGGUGGCCCAAGGAGCGGCAGCUCCUUACUGCAUGUGCUCCGCCCUUUCUUUCUAGACGGAUUCUUUUGCUUAAGAAAGUUCCCACAAAAAAUAAAAAAAUUUUUAAAAAAAGUUCCCACAAAUGGUAUUAA
RNAcentral lists this long non-coding RNA (1020 nucleotides) under Vulpes vulpes (red fox). RNAcentral describes it as "lncRNA (ENSVVUG00000027102.1)". Lineage: Eukaryota; Metazoa; Chordata; Mammalia; Carnivora; Canidae. The record is from RNAcentral.